Molecule: small RNA, 53 nt
Filed under: Caenorhabditis elegans
Lineage: Eukaryota; Metazoa; Nematoda; Chromadorea; Rhabditida; Rhabditidae
Description: Unclassified non-coding RNA Y104H12D.5
Source: RNAcentral
UUUUCGGGUUACUGUAGCCUCGAUUGUGUGCAAACACCGAAUCUGACGAGAAA